Molecule: long non-coding RNA, 1862 nt
Organism: Eubalaena glacialis (North Atlantic right whale)
Lineage: Eukaryota; Metazoa; Chordata; Mammalia; Artiodactyla; Balaenidae
Exons: 4
Source: RefSeq, a predicted model, not a curated record
AGGGAGGUAAUUAAGUCACCUGCCUGAGACCACAAUGUGAGUAGUAAGCAGGGAGGUGGGAUAUGAACCCAGGCAGCCUGGCUCUUGAAUCAGUGUGGGUUCUCUGGGGAGUUUUACUUUAUCAAAGACAGAAAAGAGAGCUAAAAGUUGACCCUAGUUUCUCAGCUGUAAAGGAAGCUCUUUAAAAAUUUCAAGGUAGCAUACAUGGUGGCAGUGACUCUGAGCUGCAGAAACAGUGCUGGAUUUUCCAGGCAGAAGAGGUUGAUAAUGAAAUGGUUGAGGGGACUGUAUUUUGAAAUGACUGAAGGCAAGAGGAGAAAAACCAAAUUUUAAACCUCAAAGCUGAGGGGGACUAGGACCCUUGGUAGGUGUUGAAUUCUAGGGCAGUGAUUCACCAGGACAAAGGGCAGUGACUGCUUAAGAUACUAAUUCAGUGUCAAAUAACUCAUGUGAAAGAGCUCUUCUUUUUUCAACACUUUUAAACCCCUAGUGAAUGCAAUUUACCAGGAUGGGAGCAAUACUGAAGGCUUCUGGUGCCCAUCUGUCCGUUUGUCUUGUCCUUUUGUGAAAUCUUGACCCACUUUUUCAGCUUGUCUUGGACAGUAGAGCACACUCUUGGGGCCCGGAGGCCUCUUCCAACCAAGUAAUAUUUCUUUGGUGGAAAAAAACUUAACGGCACUGUUGGUUUGGUGACAAACCUGGAGUGAGGUCACUUUGAAGCCAUGUGGACUUGGAUGAGGGCCUGCAAACAAAAUCCAGCAAGAUGAAGGGAAGUGGUAUACUCUGAAAGUCCAGUUUUGUAUCCCUUUAGUCAGGAGCUGACAAUAUUAUUUUGGGGGUGUUGGGCACCAACAGAGCCCAUUGAAUCCACAUGACUCGGCCGAUAGGGGAGCACACACGUCACCAUACCCGCUGUCCAGGAAUCAGAGGAGGAGGUGCCCUGGGGUGAAGCCUGGGCCACAGCCCCGGUUAGCAGCUCUGCAGGCAUCUUACCUUGGAAACAGCACAGCUUGGCUUCCGUGUCAUCGCUGAGUUCAGAGAAUCCUAGUUUCACCGUGUCCUCAGUAGAGACCAGAGAACCAGAUGGAAAUGAAGGAUGAUCUCUGUGUUCUGUUUUCAGUUAUGUAGGAGUCCAGAAUAAGGAUCCCAUCCAGGAUUCCAUACUUCAGUCCUCAGGUCUCCUUCGGCUCUCCGUGCCUGUGACAGUUUCUUAACAGACUUUUCUUGUUUUUUAUGACUUGGACAGUUUGGGGGCAUACUAGUCAGUUGUUGUAGAGUGCCCCUCAACUGGGGUUUGGCUGAUGUUCUUCUCACGGUUCGACUGGGGUUGUGUGUUUGGGGGAGAGCGACCCCUGGGGCCAAGAGCCAUUUUCAUCCCAUCGUUUCAAGGGUGCCUGCUGUCUGUGUGACGUUGACCUUGGUAUCCUGACUGAGGCGGCGCUUGUCAGGUGUCUGUACUGCAAAGUUACUCUCUCUUUCUCCCCUUCGCAUCUGUGCUCUUGGGAAGAAGGCAGCACCCACGUCAGGAGUCGGGGGCCAUGCUCCACCUCUUUGGGGCGGGGCAGGGUACCUACCUACAGUGUUUGGAAUUCUGCAGCCCAGGAGCUUUGUCUGUUCUCCCCAGGUAUUCAUUUAUCCAGUCGUUUACUUAUAUCAGUGUAGACCAAUGGGUAUUUAUACUUGUGUUAUAAUCUGACACAACACUACUGUAUUGCUCAAAUUGUUCCAGCUUUGGCCAUCUGGAGAGCUUUCAGCUGGUUCCUGUCUCCCUUUGCCAUACCCUGUUAUUGUGGGUUCUUGUCUUCCUUUUUUAACAUAGCUGCUUGGUAUUCCACUGUAAGAGUACACCAUAAUAUAUUUAA